ACUUGGCUGGCUCAGUGGGAAGAGCAUGUGACUCUUGAUCUCAAGGUUGUGAGUUCAAGCCCACGUUGGGUG
Molecule: transfer RNA, 72 nt
Filed under: Ailuropoda melanoleuca (giant panda)
Lineage: Eukaryota; Metazoa; Chordata; Mammalia; Carnivora; Ursidae
Rfam family: tRNA
About the family: Transfer RNA (tRNA) molecules are approximately 80 nucleotides in length. Their secondary structure includes four short double-helical elements and three loops (D, anti-codon, and T loops).
Source: Rfam by way of RNAcentral